This 410-nucleotide RNase P RNA is filed under the name Candidatus Cardinium hertigii. RNAcentral describes it as "RNase P RNA component class A". It matches the Rfam family "Bacterial RNase P class A". Rfam says of the family: Ribonuclease P (RNase P) is a ubiquitous endoribonuclease, found in archaea, bacteria and eukarya as well as chloroplasts and mitochondria. Lineage: Bacteria; Pseudomonadati; Bacteroidota; Cytophagia; Cytophagales; Amoebophilaceae. The record is from RNAcentral.
AAAACAAGCUGGCUUGUCGCUUGGGUAACUAAGUCCAAGAGGAAAGUCCGGGCAAUACAGAGCGCCCUACUUCCUAACAGGAAGGCAUAUGGGAAACUUCCAUGUGACAGCAAGUGCCACAGAAAAUAAACCGCUUUCUAGUAAUUAUAGAAAGUAAGGGUGAAAAGGGGAGGUAAGUGCUCACCGCUCUAUUGGUGACAAUAGAGGCAGGGUAAACCUUAGGGAUUGCAAGGCCAAAUAGGCAUACCUAUGCUAUAGUAGUGUAACGGGUUGCUCGUCCGUUUUUUCUUUUCGAAGAAAAGGGUAUGUGGGUAGGCUGCUAGAGGUCAUGAGUGAUUAUGGCCCCAGAUAAAUGACAAGCGGUGCACAAUGGUGUACUACAGAACCCGGCUUAUAGGCUUGUUUUUCUU